This 382-nucleotide ribosomal RNA is filed under the name uncultured dictyochophyte. Its description in RNAcentral is "SSU rRNA". It matches the Rfam family "Eukaryotic small subunit ribosomal RNA", at positions 451 to 833 of the family's 1831-position model. Lineage: Eukaryota; Dictyochophyceae. The record is from RNAcentral.
CUGACUCAGGGAGGUAGUGACAAAAAAUAACUUAGUCGAGCCGUUUUCGGUUUGACUUUAGGAAUGAGAACAAUUUAAAUCCCUUAUCGAGGAUCAAUUGGAGGGCAAGUCUGGUGCCAGCAGCCGCGGUAAUUCCAGCUCCAAUAGCGUAUAUUAAUGUUGUUGCAGUUAAAAAGCUCGUAGUUGGAUUUCUGGUCAAAACACCUGGCCGGCUCCGCAAGGGGUCGUUGCAUUGGUUGUCUUUGUCCAUCCUCAGGUUGACUAGCUCUGGUAUUUAUUUAUCGGUGUUAGAGACACCUGUCGUUUACUGUGAACAAAUUAGAGUGUUCAAAGCAAGGUUUACUUGAAUACAUUAGCAUGGAAUAAUAAGAUAGGACUUUGG